RNAcentral lists this ribosomal RNA (558 nucleotides) under Botryosphaeria dothidea. RNAcentral describes it as "eukaryotic LSU rRNA". The stretch from base 182 to 335 matches the Rfam family "5.8S ribosomal RNA". The record is from RNAcentral. Lineage: Eukaryota; Fungi; Ascomycota; Dothideomycetes; Botryosphaeriales; Botryosphaeriaceae.
UCGAAACUUGAUUCGGGCUCGGCCCGAUCCUCCCACCCUUUGUGUACCUACCUCUGUUGCUUUGGCGGGCCGCGGUCCUCCGCGGCCGCCCCCCUCCCCGGGGGGGUGGCCAGCGCCCGCCAGAGGACCAUCAAACUCCAGUCAGUAAACGAUGCAGUCUGAAAAACAUUUAAUAAACUAAAACUUUCAACAACGGAUCUCUUGGUUCUGGCAUCGAUGAAGAACGCAGCGAAAUGCGAUAAGUAAUGUGAAUUGCAGAAUUCAGUGAAUCAUCGAAUCUUUGAACGCACAUUGCGCCCUUUGGUAUUCCGAAGGGCAUGCCUGUUCGAGCGUCAUUACAACCCUCAAGCUCUGCUUGGUAUUGGGCACCGUCCUUUGCGGGCGCGCCUCAAAGACCUCGGCGGUGGCGUCUUGCCUCAAGCGUAGUAGAACAUACAUCUCGCUUCGGAGCGCAGGGCGUCGCCCGCCGGACGAACCUUCUGAACUUUUCUCAAGGUUGACCUCGGAUCAGGUAGGGAUACCCGCUGAACUUAAGCAUAUCAUAGGCCCGGAGGAAGA